UUCAAACAACAUAUUUUAGAUUAGGGUGAGCCUUGAAAAACAAAUUUCUGCCAGUCUGAAGGGUGAUAUGGUAUGGGUGUGUACAGAUUUUUGUUUGCAUUCAAGGACCUUCACUGACAGCAUUAGCUCAAAUUUUAAGCAUCUUUUAGUUCCUACAGUUAUGCUGAUUGUUCAGAUCAGCUUUUUGAAGUUCAUUUAGCAGGCCAUAAGGUAUUUAUUUCCUGAUGGGGGAACUUGGAAAAGGUAGUUAUAACCAACAAAAUGAAAAUAUUCAGCCUUUAGUUAACACAUGCUGGUUGCCAUUUUCUUCUCCAGAUAUUAGAAUACAUUGACUUAAAUAAUUGAAUUUUGCUAAAUUGUUAUUCUCUAAGUAUG
This 375-nucleotide long non-coding RNA is filed under the name Bos taurus (domestic cattle). RNAcentral's name for it is "long non-coding RNA NONBTAT001036". Lineage: Eukaryota; Metazoa; Chordata; Mammalia; Artiodactyla; Bovidae. The record is from RNAcentral.